Triticum dicoccoides is the source of this 906-nucleotide long non-coding RNA. RefSeq lists it as uncharacterized. The record is from RefSeq and is a predicted model, not a curated record. Lineage: Eukaryota; Viridiplantae; Streptophyta; Magnoliopsida; Poales; Poaceae. The transcript is spliced from 3 exons.
GAGGUACUAUUCAUUUGUCCCUUGCCUAUUUAGAUGACCAGUUCCGGUUAAUGUUUUAUUUAACAACUGAAGUCUUUCGAUUAAAUUCAGGAGUAUAUACAGAGCACACACUUAGUGAAAGAUCUUGCUUGUUUAUUUUCUGAGAUCUGGAAACUGGUUAAUGGUCAUGAUCAGGACAAUGUACAGAUGUGUUUCAGUGAUGCGCUGGAGCAUGUUUAUGAUGAAAAUCGGUAUCCAUUACGCAAACGUAAUUUGAACAACGAGUUGAGGUACACUGGUGGUUUGAACCUGCAGGAACUAGUAGUUUUUUUUUUCUUUUCCUUUCUUACACUUCCGCUUUGUGUUUUCAUUGGACAAUUAGUAUACCUCUUACGUUGCAAACUGCUUCAAUCAUCUUUCCUUGUAGUUUCGGCAGUGUACGCAGGGUAUCAGUAAGGAAGUAAGUACACUGUGGUGUGGUUUCCCAUACAUUGUGAUCUCUUAUGUAGACCGUAACUUUACAUCAGAUGUCACUCCUAAUUUGUGUGUAUAGGUUCCGGAUUCGAUAGCUCUUGAGUUAAUUUCCUGGGAAGUUAGGUUCAAGUGUGACCUGCCAAAGACAUAUGUGCAGUAUGCCAGAAAGAAGCUCAAGAUUGCAGAAACCAUAGGAUUGAUUCCCAAGGCCAAGAUAUUCGCGUAGUUGUUUGUUGCUUGUUGGCGUGGUGGUCAUUUGGAAUAAGUUUCAGAAAAUAAACUGUAAUAUUCCAGGGUAGCUACUGCAUCUAUGGUUAAACGCCUAUGUAUAUGGAGAUGCAUGUUCAUGUAAUUUAAUUUCGUUCCUUUGGAGGAAAUUGCUCUUAUUUGUACGUAGUUUAAUAUGUGUCCCUAGAUCUUGCUUGAUAAUUAAAUACAUUGAUUGGGUUUGUA